RNAcentral lists this transfer RNA (72 nucleotides) under Bos taurus (domestic cattle). It matches the Rfam family "tRNA". Rfam says of the family: Transfer RNA (tRNA) molecules are approximately 80 nucleotides in length. Their secondary structure includes four short double-helical elements and three loops (D, anti-codon, and T loops). The record is from Rfam by way of RNAcentral. RNAcentral also lists the same sequence under 4 other names. Lineage: Eukaryota; Metazoa; Chordata; Mammalia; Artiodactyla; Bovidae.
UCCCUGAUAGCUCAGUUGGUAAAGAAUCCGCCUGCAAUGCGGAAAACCUGGGUUUGAUCCCUGGGUUGGGAU